GCUGGGCAUGAUGGCAUAUGCCUGCAAUCCCAGCUACUCAGGAGGCUGAGGCAGGAGAAUUGCUUGAGCCCAGGAGCUGGAGGUUGCAGUGAGCCAAGAUCACAGCCCUGCACUCCAGCCUGAGCAACAGAGCAAGACUCUGUCUCAU
This 148-nucleotide non-coding RNA is filed under the name Nomascus leucogenys (northern white-cheeked gibbon). The record is from Rfam by way of RNAcentral. Lineage: Eukaryota; Metazoa; Chordata; Mammalia; Primates; Hylobatidae.